AAAAAAGGUCCCGAAGCAAGUUCGGGAUGGCAUAGCCAAUUAAAAGGGAAUCUGGUGAAAAUCCAGAGCUGUUCCCGCAACUGUAAGUUUAUACUGAAUUCAUUUCAGUACCUCACAAAGUGAGUUGCUAUUUACUGCAAUGCCACUGUAAUCACGGUAAACGUCAUUAUGGGAAGGCCGAAUAGCAAAAAACAAGUCAGGAGACCUGCCAAUUUCAACAAAUAAGU
This 227-nucleotide non-coding RNA is filed under the name Winogradskyella jejuensis. The record is from RNAcentral. Lineage: Bacteria; Pseudomonadati; Bacteroidota; Flavobacteriia; Flavobacteriales; Flavobacteriaceae.